Molecule: long non-coding RNA, 2849 nt
Filed under: Daphnia pulex (common water flea)
Lineage: Eukaryota; Metazoa; Arthropoda; Branchiopoda; Diplostraca; Daphniidae
Description: uncharacterized LOC124200381
Source: RNAcentral
CAAAAAAAAAAGUAUGAGGAGGACUAUAAUAAUUAAAAAAAUUGUUUUUUAAAAAGAAAUAUAGCAAGACUUCUUCGAGUUAUCAGCUGAUAUAACAACAUGACUGCUGCGGGUGCUGGCUGAUCACGAAGAUAUUUUUUCUACUUGUUGAUCGAACCUGAUUUCAAAAAUUGUAAUGUUAAUGUAAGAAAUAGUUAAUGUAUACCAGAAAGGUUAAAAAUCUACCUCUAGUGGUGUAUCGAUUUUCUCUUUUACACACACUUGUAAGGCUUGUUUUUUUUAUAGUAGUAAUUUCAUUGGAUGAUGAUGAUCAUUGAUUCUCAUUUGCUAAAACUUACUAACUAAAGGAAUAGAUUGAAAGCUUCUGCAUUUUUAAAUAGUAUAUUAUACGUAAAAUGCAUAAGCGUACCAGUUUUUAUUGCUCGGGGCAAAUAUAUGUCACGUGUGCGUGAAAAACGGAGCCAUUCAAGUUCCAAACCUUAACAAAAGUCUCAGUCUAUACGAAAUGGGUGUUGCGUGUAGAAUUAAAGAUUGUGGGAAUUCCAGGGGGAAACCUAGAAAAGGUAAAAGCGUAAUGUAUCAUUAAUUUCCUUCGAAGAAGUGAUGGGAACAAAAUGGGUCGACAGUUUUACCAAGAGUUGUGGCUUUAAAAGAGAGCUAAAGGCUAAAGGGAAUAUAAGUCUUGCGUGUGCAGUUAACAUUUUAAAGAAAGCGAUUAUACAAGGGGAUUCACUGAGACUAAAAACGCUAGGAUUAUAAAUCUGCUAUUCCAUUCACAACGCCAGAUACUUAAAACAAUUAAGUUCUAAGGCAAUAUUCUAGUGGGGAGACCACAAUUUUUAAUAAUUUGAAUCAGGCGCAGUUACUCAAUUCACAAAAUUGACCAUCUGUCAAAUUAAACUAUUCGGUAGUUUCAAACGACAAAAUGCGAGAUAUCAAACUUUGGAGGGAAUAACACAAUGAUGAUAUUACGAGUACAGUAGAAAACUUUUCAACAAUUUGCGUACUCGGGUGAGUUAAUUUUCAUUCCAAAUUAAGACCUUACAUUAUUCGUGUAGUUUAAAUUUUUUGAAUCAACUUUGCAGAAAGUAAAAAGAGUCUCAGUAUUUUUUUCUCUCCACAUCUACUAAGGGCACAAGAAAUGGAAACAGUGAAAUGGUUUUUAAAACUGCUCAAAGAGUGAACCUUUCCACGGUAGACUAAAUGCUGAUUCAAAUAAUCCAAAACGAUUUUCACUAAACUCUAGUUUCUCUGUCCUGCAACGAAAAGGCCUUUCGGUUUUACGACAGUCUCGGCGUAGAAUGGGGAAAAUUUCUCAAAUUUAUUGUAAACUUAAAAUAAGACAAUAGCCCAUUACAACGAAUAGCAAAUUGCGAAAGAAUAAUUCAUACGACUGCGGCGUUUCCUUCUGUCAAUGUGCUUACUGUAUUUCAAAAGAAGCACAUUCAACUUAUUAAGCAGAACGAGAUGAUAAAGAUGGGACAAAUAAUUAAGAAGAACUUGCAGCAGGGUAACUUCGUGACAGCCUGUUGAUUGAACUAUCGGAAAUUCCAAUUGUUUCAGGAUACAACACUAAGAAUUCGACUUUUCCGUCGCAAGAGGUGGAAAUGGCCAUGUUUUCUCCGUCGCCAAUUCCGGUUAUUCCCCUAGCAACGUUUUUCCUCUUUCAACGAUUCCGGCUGUUGCAGAAUACAGUCCAGCAUGUUCAAAUUACUGUACAACCGAUUCAUAUACGUACCACCUAAGAAAAGAAAGAUUGUAAACGAUAGGGGACACAUGAAAUAUGACUAUCGUUUAACUUAUACAGGUGAGCAUAAAGUAGAAUGGCUUUGUGAAACAGAAAGGUUUCUACAGCAGGUAGGCAAGUCAUUUGCCAAUUCCUAGCAACGUCCCAAUUCAAAUCUACAACGAGACAACGGCUAAUUUAAUGAAGGAGUCGACAAGUGGCAUUCUUUAUGAGCUAACCCUAAAUAAGUCCCAGAUUACCCAUUCAAAGAAACGAGAACGGCAGCUGUCGUGCGAGUGGGGGGAUUUAUAGUAAGAUGUCUCUAUGAACGACAGAAAUGACGAAAAUGCAUUGAAAAACUAGAAACAAUCAAUGAAACCAGUCAGCAGAAGAAUUAUUUUUUAAAAUUCGUUUUUGAAACAGAUAGAGGAGAAUUGUUUUACCCGAGUUGGAGUUUUGGUUACCCGCUCGUCACCAUCAAGAAAUUUCAGCGAAAAGUUGUUUCUUUGAUACGCGGGGCAUCACACAUCGUAAAAGAUCUGGUUUAAUUUAUCAGACCACACCUCCUGAAAUGUGUUACAAUGUCUUUUGGUAAAGCCAGAAAAGACUUUUGAUAGUUGGGAAUAAUUUUUAUCGUUCCUCCAAGAACUGGAAACAGUGAAUUAUUACCCCCAAUUCGUUUUUUUUUACAAAAACAAACAGUUGCUUCAUACAAAAAAUCUAAAAGUUUCAAAAUAAAUUAAUAAGUUGAAGUUGAAGCAAUGUAUUCCAGUAAUGGAAUAUUGUGCAGCCUAAAAAUCAUUAUCUUUUAUGUGCGCGGCAACCUCUCGAACCGAAUCCGACUUGUCUCUCCUACUCCCUCCAGCUCCCCUUCCUCGUCCGUCGCCCUCGCCGGCGUGGUCCGCACUGCCAUUCACCCCCUGUCUUCCUCUCAUAUAAAAAAGACAACGAUCCGUGAUCGUUCACUCUACAGCUCUUGAGUAAUCCUUUCCUAGUAAUCAACCCUUUCUCUGUGAUCCCGAAACCCAGAUCAUAACAUCUUGAUGAGAAAUUGGAAUUUAAACAUGAAACUGUUAUUUGCCAGGGUUGGGAACGAUAAUACAAAUAAAAUAUGUUCGAUAUC